Long non-coding RNA from Anopheles bellator, 491 nucleotides. RefSeq lists it as uncharacterized. Lineage: Eukaryota; Metazoa; Arthropoda; Insecta; Diptera; Culicidae. The transcript has 2 exons. The record is from RefSeq and is a predicted model, not a curated record.
UAGUUUUGCACUGUUUUUAAUGGGUUUUCUUAAUUCUGUUACCAUUGCAUCGACUCUGUUGGACCAGAAGCUCAGUAUAUACAGUUCCAUGAAUUCCAUGUGCUGUAGUCUUCAAGGAGGUAACCGGGUUUAACAAAAAAUGGUUCAGGAUAAUUCAGAGCAACCUAAGAAUAAUGGAACUGAUGUAACAAUUACAUAGGUGUACAAGCGAACUAGUGUGAUGUGAUAAGAAGAAAUCAUUCCCUAGGUUUUCACCAUGUUUUAAAUACAAAAAAAAGAACUUGCGAUUGGCACCUUGUAGGAAUACUAAACAAAACUUGGACGAAAACUACAUACGGACAUCUUCUGCUAUAUUUUACAAACUACAAUCGACAUUCAAAUAAUGGCAACAAAGGAGCAGAAAAGCAGUACUUCUAUUCUUCUUGUAACAGCUAACGUUGGAAGCAUUUUCGAGGAUGUAAGUAAAAAAUAAAUUAAAUGUAGCCGAUGUA